GACGAACGCUGGCGGCGUGCCUAAUACAUGCAAGUCGAACGCUUCUUUCCUCCCGAGUGCUUGCACUCAAUUGGAAAGAGGAGUGGCGGACGGGUGAGUAACACGUGGGUAACCUACCCAUCAGAGGGGGAUGACACUUGGAAACAGGUGCUAAUACCGCAUAACAGUUUAUGCCGCAUGGCAUAAGAGUGAAAGGCGCUUUCGGGUGUCGCUGAUGGAUGGACCCGCGGUGCAUUAGCUAGUUGGUGAGGUAACGGCUCACCAAGGCCACGAUGCAUAGCCGACCUGAGAGGGUGAUCGGCCACACUGGGACUGAGACACGGCCCAGACUCCUACGGGAGGCAGCAGUAGGGAAUCUUCGGCAAUGGGCGAAAGUCUGACCGAGCAACGCCGCGUGAGUGAAGAAGGUUUUCGGAUCGUAAAACUCUGUUGUUAGAGAAGAACAAGGACGUUAGUAACUGAACGUCCCCUGACGGUAUCUAACCAGAAAGCCACGGCUAACUACGUG
RNAcentral lists this ribosomal RNA (508 nucleotides) under uncultured bacterium. RNAcentral's name for it is "partial 16S ribosomal RNA". It matches the Rfam family "Bacterial small subunit ribosomal RNA", at positions 28 to 507 of the family's 1533-position model. The record is from RNAcentral.